UGAUCGAGGGUGGCUGUAUUUUCGGUACUGCUAGGACCGGCCUCCCGUGCUAAUCCACCGAAAAUUGCCUGUAUUCACACACUUCUACGCUUAACCUACAUUGCACGAGUGAAUAAGAUAGAUUUUGUCCUAACCAUCAAGUCUUCCUCUUUCUAAUGAUGCCAUCCAGAUCUCUCUACGUGGCGUGGUUAUGGAGAAACAGCGAGUUGAAUAGGAGAGACUUUCGGUGUGAGCGCGCCGGUUAUAACCGCCUCCGGCCCUUCCCCGGCAAAGCGGCUAUAGCUGCCUAUGGUCCUUUAGGGGUUAAACAUGCAUCACAAGCUGUUCUGGGCAACGAGCUCCUUGCAACAGAGGAUGAAAAGGAAGCUGAGGUGUCAUGUUUGAGAGGACCCGGGGCGCUCCAGGCGGCCCGAGUCGUUCCCUCAAACGCUAGCAGCUGCUCCCGCACGCAUGGCGCCUCAUCCCCUUAGACUCAUCUCGGACUGAACAACAUCAAUAGGCAGAUAAUGCCUACCUGUGUACUCAGGCUUGAACGAACGGAAAAAAAAAGUGUGGGUUUGGAAAAAUGUCAAGGGCCAGAACCAAAUUGUAUUUUCCCCAUAGGUUUAGUUAAUCCUGUGACGCGGUUUCCUAUGGCGCGGCUGUUGCUCAGAACCAAUUAACCGUGCCAUACGCGACUGGACUGUAUUCAUCAGAUUAUUCGCAGAAUACAAACACAUUUACCUUGUUCAGCCAAGUCUCGGUUUAGGAGUUUGAUUCGUUCUGAAAUUUUGCUUGCACACCAAAACACUCCUAAACCAAAACAAAUUUCCUCAUUGAAUUUAAUGUAAAUCCAUUAAUGCUUCCCAUAUCUCAAAAAAAAUAUUUAUGUAAAAAUCAUUUUACAUGUUAUUUUUUACAGAAUUAAAGUAAUUUCACAAACAAAGCAAUAAUAUGAAACAUAAAUCACUGUGUUGCAGCUGUUACGGAGACUCCCACAACUGCUAGCUAUGCUUUAGGUGCAGGCUUUGCCCCGGGGUGUAGCAGCCACAGUUUCCCUCUUCUCAAGGCACCGGAACUACGUUUGAUCGCCAACGUGAAGCAAACCAGACGUAUCAUCCAAGAUGAAGAGUGAACAGAGUCAGUCACGUCCAGGAGGGCAUGCAAGAUGCUGAGGCUUGCCAACGUUCCUGUUGCCAGCAUAGUAUGCACCGUUCCUGUUGCCAGCAUAGUAUGCACCGUUCCUGUUGCCAGCAUAGUAUGCACCGUUCCUGUUGCCAGCAUAGUAUGCACCGUUCCUGUUGCCAGCAUAGUAUCUGCCGUUCCUGUUACCAGCAUAGUAUGCACCGUUCCUGUCGCCAGCAUAGUAUCUGCCGUUCCUGUUUUCUCCUUUGCAGCACCAUCCCUUUUAGCCAUCUUCCUGGGGAACAUUGUUAAAGCACAAAGAACGCACACUGUAGUGCUGGAAACAUGACACGAGUACAUGGAUGCUAUUUCUACGAGUUUACAACGUGGACUGAGAGAGCCGUCAUCUGGUGGUCAAGCAUUAUACCCUAGACUGAACAAGAAUUGACCCCAAGUCUUGCGAAAUUCUUGCGUUUCUUGUUCUGGCGCAUCAAAUUUUAAAGAAUUCUCCCCAAUUCUUGGCAAGAAUCGCCAGCAGCGGCUGUCAGUCAUGGCAGGCCACAGAAAUUUUCUGGUUGCUAUCCAUUCCUCAAAAUAUGUAUUGGUUCUGUGGUGGAGGAUGGGAUGUUGUGUUCCUUAUUUGCUUUAGGUCAAGGUGGCUGCAGCCCUGACUGAGACCAUUCCCAUUGUCUUCCACUUUGACCUCUCUCGUCUUGCGGCGAACAAAGGGAACCCACGCUCACGUCUUCCACUCGUACAAAGAGACACACCAGUCCUCGGCCAAAGACAGACGGGUUAGUCCGCUUCCGAGUGAAAAGUAGCCCGCCCCGUGCAUGACGUAUAUUGUUACCCAGCAGCCGGGGUCAGAAGGCAGAAGCCAGGUCAGUCCAACCGUGACCUCUCCAGUGUUAAGAGCAAGGAAGUCCAAGUCACUCUGCUCUCCGGAGGCUUUUUGUUCGAUGUAUGGAUGCAGAUCUGACCAAGGGCACAAAGUAAAGCACUGUACGUUUACCAACAAUGUUGACAAGACCCCAUAACUGUGUGUAAGAGAGAGAGAGAGAGAGAGAGAGAGAGAGUAUAUGUGUAUGUGCGCCAAUGUGCAGGUCAGACAAGUGUUCCAUAGUUACCCCUCCGGUCCAUGUUUUCUGUUUAGUGUGCCCUGCCUGAGAUCUACGUUUAGAUUUUGACCCUGCCUUCCCUACCCUCUUCCCCCUACCUGGGUAACAAUCCACGUCACCGGUCUGCAUGGAUGGAUGAAAGCGGUCUAACCCUAUCCUCUUUUAACCCUGACUAGGUCGGCUAGGCUGACAUAAGUCAAUAGUUGGUCUACCAGCAUCCUCCCCUCCCCUUCAUGAGGCGUCGCUUGGCACGGGUUUGUGGUCCCUCCUCGAAGGGACGUACGCGCUUGACCAUGACGGCCUCCAUACAGCCUGUGUCCCCACCCGGGGGGGGGGGGGGCAACAACAACAAAAAGAGGAACAAACAGGAUGCUCCUAUACCAAGUCACCGCUCGUACAUCAAGGCAUUAUUUGUGGGAUUUAUUUGCUCAUAAAUCAAAACACUCAUAAACUAAGGCACUUGUAAACCGAGCUUUGACUGUGCAGUAAACCCUCAGUUAUCCGGGUGCACCGUAUCCGACCUCACCCGUAUCCAGGAGUUUUAGAAAUUAUUUGAUAUUUUUCCAAAAAAUAAAAAAAUUGUCCUUCAAAUUUCCCACGCAAUGCCUCUAAGCUCUGCCCGGGCAGAGUACUGCACCCGUAAGGCGCGCCCCAGCUUGCACGUGGCAAUGAUAUUGACGUCCUGGUGCGAAGGUUCACAGGAAAGCUGUGUGCUUCGCAGUACAACUGGCACGUAAACGUUCUUGCCGAGCGCUGCAGACCAUAUCGGUGACGAGAGUCAAAGGACUGUUUAAAUGAAACACACAGUGCGAACCCUUGCUUAACCCUUUCAUUGCUAAACGCUUUCAGUGGGCGUUAGGUGUAUUUGCUGGUGGCGCUAAACGCUUGCUGCGAGCUCCACCCGCACUCAAAUCUCCCGCGUAUGAGAGUGUUCCAACACUAAUUCUCACAACACAGGAUUGCCAAUUGAGUGGGUUCUUCACUAAAUUUGGUGGAAAAUCAUAUCAGCCCAGCGCGGCAAAUCUACGAAUGAGUAACUGGUGGAUGUUCUUGCCCAAUAUAGUGGCAUUUUUGCAUAGCUUCACCUAUCACCGGACUGAUUCUUUGACCAAAUAGUUGUAAAUAUUGCAGUUGGCAAUACUCCCAUGCCAGAGUCUGAAAAAGAGAUGUCCGCAGUUCCCUCAAUAUGGCUGAUCACCCCGCACGCACCGACGUAAGUGUUAACAUUCAACACUCCCUGAACGUGCAUGUACGUUCGCAGGAGAGGCAUACAUAACCGACUCCUAUAGAUCUGGACUUCCUCUUUCCACUGGUGUUUUUGGUUUUUAGCUGUGAUGAAUAGUUUUUGAGGUACAGAGGUUAAAAGAACCCCCCCAUUGGGCUCCCCGACUGCGCCUGAGGGGAUAGUCGCGUCCAGACUGCACGCAAGGAAAGGGUUAAGCCUUGAUGACUGCCUAAAUCCAGACUGGACUAGGUGAGCAGGGCUCCAUCCCUGUGGAGGAGGCGUGUGGGUCUGCUAGCACUCCUGCGGGAGUGAGGGCGGAAUAAGAAAUGCAGAUAAGUACCACCCUCGGUCUGACACGUGAAAGAAGGAAUUUACCAUGCUUACGGUAAGGCGAGUAAAGGGGCUCGCAGGGUUCGAGAGUCCCAUGGGCCAGCCCGAUCCGGAGGUGCAGGCUGACCGUAAAUCACGGUUACUUCUUGUGGCUGGCCUCCCCAUGCUCCCGCUGGAUGCACUGUGCAGGGGGUACCCGCCCCCCUGGCUCGCAGGGGCAACACAGUGUAACUAAACAGCCACAGAUCAUCGUGCAAAUGAAUGCGCCAGGUUGUCAUUGACUCCUUGGUUAUCCUCCCCACCUACACUCAGAGUGGGGCGGCCUAGCAUACUUGCCCGGCGUCUGUGGGCCGUCGGGUUCAUUGCCGGGCUCAAAAGGGUAGCGCCCUGAGGUACCUGCCCGGGCAUCCGUAUAGAAGCCUGCUUAGAGGACAUGCUCGUUGUCGGCCCGGAGGGCUUCAGGUAUCGCUCUGGUAUGCCUUCUGGUUGACCCGGGUGGUAAAGCCCGCAAUGCUCGUAGCCACGAGGUUGCUAACGCAGCUACGCAGCAAUAAAGCCGCGGGUGUGCACUUUAGAACAGCACAGAGCGUCGGCCUUCCAGUUUUGUAAAACUGGAGCUGUAAAAAGUUUCUUGUGGCAGUGCUGGGUCUGCUAGAAAGCCUACGUGGUAAACACGAUGGUGCAGACUUGGGCGGUUAAGCUGCCACAAACACCUCAGCUUUUCUGGGUUGGGUCCAGGCCCGCUGCUGUGAUUGGCCAGGCAGGGGAACAUUAGCUGCUGCCUGUGAACACGGCUAGGCACCCCAGCAAUGGGUUAGUGGCUGAGGCAGUCGUGCCUCAUUGCCGAAUCCCAAGUAACGGAUCCCCCCAAGGUGCAGCAGGACUGCAAUAAGCCAGGGAGAGAUUGCCGCGAGUGCUAACCGUGACAACGCUGCUCGAACCCUUUUCUCAGCGCCCGGAGCAUGUCAAUCGCACGCAUUUCACUCCCUGGUGCAGACUGACUGCUACAAAGCCAUGGGGCAUGCCACAGUAUGAGUAUGGACAGAAGCAGCUAUGCAGUACUCUGUCGUUACCUUUAUGGCAGGCCAAGAUCCUAAGUUGGGUUUUGGGGUCCGUAGACUUAACCUACACCAUAUCCGGGUUUUUCCCAUAUCCGGGUGCCCCCGUGGCUCUAUUAACCCGGAUCUCAGAGGGUUUACUGUAUUUGAAUACGAAUGAGAAUACUUUGAUUUAUAUUAAUAAUUACUUAAUAUGAAUACACCCUUAUACGGUAUUGAAAUGUAUUUGAAUAUGAACACCAAACCCGAAUACUCCAUCCCUGCCAAGAGUGUUGGAGGCUGGAACAGCCUGGAAAACAUGUGGUCCUUGCAAAGACCAUUCAUGAAUAUAUAAGACCAAGGUGGAUUAUAUAUAGUAGAUAUAGAGAUGGGACAGCACAAAGCACCUCCUCGACCCUGUACCACAACUAGCUAAAUACUCACACACACACACACACACACACACACACACACACACACUUAUGGAAAGAAAAAAAAGUGUCGAGGUGCAUCAAGGCUCAACACAAACUCUUCAUGGAGAAAGACAGCAGUAGCUUACAAAAGUAUUUCAAACCAAUUAACCCUCUCGUGCCUGGUGACCCGUGUGGCAAUUUCAAAUGAAAACAUAAUAAUUUAUACUGUUUUGUCAUCGCCAAUCCUUCCUCUCCAUGAUGAAAUAAAUUUGAAGUAUCUAGGUUGUGGCACGGCAGAGAUCUGAUGUUGGGAAGAGGUGCUAUUUUUGGCCAAGCUGAGCGCGUCGGGUGGUGGGAACUCCCGCCACCCGACGCUUUCUGCCCGAGCGGGAAUUCCUGUCACCCGAUGCACACGGGUUAAUGAUACAGGGCGACUGUUUUGUUUACGUUGUGAAGAAUACGAGCAACUGAGCUUGGCUAUGUGUGACGCACCCCCGGAAAAGUUGGAGUUGCCGGUCGCAUUUACUGCCAAUGCGGUUGGCGGAAAAAGGCCCAGUGUGACACCAGUAGCUUAAAGGCGCGGUCACACAAGCUGUAGUCUGUUGACGGAGCCUGUUCAUCUUGCGCCUAGGCAGAGUUUGUUACGGCUCCUGUGAUUGGCUGCACCCCUCCCUCACUCACAUGUUCGCUGUGACGCUACACACUUGUAUUUUCUUCGUCAUAGCUCGUCUCUUAUUCACGACAGACCACCUUAGUUGGUACCGUUGGACUCAGCAGUAAUUGCGCAACUCAGUUAUGUUUAUGUAAACUCGAUAAAAUAAAACAUAAAGGAAAUGUGAUGAGUUGAGGUCACAAGACAGCUCCGAAAUGUUUAUAACACGGUUUACUUAUCAUCGCUUUUCUCAGCAGUCUUUGAACCAGAGUUGAAAUAAAUAAUUUCAUCUCAUAUAGCAAAGUCUCCUGAACGCUAUGGUGUGAUCAGAUCAUAGAUAAAACGUGACAUGACCAUAACACAGAACGGUUUCUGAGGAUGUGUACAGCAUAUUUAUGUAUGUGUGUGUGUGUGUGUGUGUGUGCGUGUGUGUAUUUACCUAGUUGUAACAUACGGGAAAAGAGCUACGCUGGCGCUGUCCCAUCUCCAUAUCCUCUCUUAUCCAACUUUUCCUUAAAAUCAUGAAUGUUUCUUGCACAAACCACCUCCUCCUCCAGUCUAUUCCACAGCUCAAUGCUUCUGUUUGGGAAGCUAAACUUUUUCACAUCUCGCCUGCACGUGGUCGCCCUCAACUUUUUUCUAUGUCCCUUCAUUGGUAGCCUGGUAACAUAUAGUCCCAGGUCUUUCUCUGCCUCUGUGGUGGAUAGUAGAGUGUUUCCCAUGUGGUAUUGGUGUGCUGGAUUUCCCUUCACUGGUAGCCUGGUAACAUAUAGUCCCAGGUCUUUCUCUGCCUCUGUGGUGGAUAGUAGAGUGUUUCCCAUGUGGUAUUGGUGUGCUGGAUAUCCCUUCACUGGUAGCCUGGUAACAUAUAGUCCCAGGUCUUUCUCUGCCUCUGUGGUGGAUAGUGGAGUGUUUCCCAUGUGGUAUUGGUGUGCUGGAUAUCCCUUCACUGGUAGCCUGGUAACAUAUAGUCCCAGGCCUUUCUCUGCCUCUGUGGUGGAUAGUGGAGUGUUUCCCAUGUGGUAUUGGUGUGCUGGAUAUCCCUUCACUGGUAGCCUGGUAACAUAUAGUCCCAGGUCUUUCUCUGCCUCUGUGGUGGAUAGUAGAGUGUUUCCCAUGUGGUACUGGUGUGCUGGAUAUCCCUUCACUGGUAGCCUGGUAACAUAUAG
This is a long non-coding RNA of Eriocheir sinensis (Chinese mitten crab), 7048 nucleotides long. RefSeq lists it as uncharacterized. The transcript has 3 exons. The record is from RefSeq and is a predicted model, not a curated record. Lineage: Eukaryota; Metazoa; Arthropoda; Malacostraca; Decapoda; Varunidae.